UCAGCAUCCCUCCCAUCUCAUUCCACUGCGCUGCUGUUGACAGUUGAUGCCGCUGGCCUGCUACCGAAUACUGUUACUCUCCACUUCAAGUUCUAUUACAGAAAUUAGGAUGUCUGAGGAAUCAUCAGAGUGGUCAAGCACUCUCAGAAACCAAUGGAAAAACACAAGUAAUCUUCAGUCUUAAAGCUUCAACUCUAGCAAAAGCAAAAUCCUGCAAUCUGUAAGGCAAACCACUUGAGCGCAACACACUGGGCUCGAGCGCAAGACCGUGCCGCUCGGGUGCACAUCAGGAGGCUUGAGCGCAUCAGGCAUCCAUAAGGCUCGAGCGCACAUUAGGAGCUCGAGCAAAGCAAGAAGACUUGCGCACGCAAGACACUAGCACAUUGGGCUCCAACGCACAUCAGGAAGGCUCAAGCGCAAAUUGAGCUCGAGCACAUAAAUACUUGGGCCCGAGCACAGUCGAAAACUGCAGAGUUGACUACAAGAUAUCAAAUUCACUUAGGAGUUUUUAUAUGAUUUCUAUUUGGAUUAGAUGUUUUGAUAUGUACAAAUCCACGAGUAUUUCACUUGUCUUCUAUAUAAAUAUCCUAGACUU
Long non-coding RNA from Alnus glutinosa, 595 nucleotides. RefSeq lists it as uncharacterized. Lineage: Eukaryota; Viridiplantae; Streptophyta; Magnoliopsida; Fagales; Betulaceae. The transcript is spliced from 3 exons. The record is from RefSeq and is a predicted model, not a curated record.